CGGGGCAUGGCGCAGCCUGGUAGCGCGCACGGCUGGGGGCCGUGAGGUCGUGAGUUCAAAUCUCGCUGCCCCGACCA
RNAcentral lists this transfer RNA (77 nucleotides) under Candidatus Nomurabacteria bacterium. Its description in RNAcentral is "tRNA-Pro". It matches the Rfam family "tRNA". From Rfam's summary of the family: Transfer RNA (tRNA) molecules are approximately 80 nucleotides in length. Lineage: Bacteria; Candidatus Nomuraibacteriota. The record is from RNAcentral.